Molecule: transfer RNA, 65 nt
Filed under: Acanthopleura vaillantii
Lineage: Eukaryota; Metazoa; Mollusca; Polyplacophora; Chitonida; Chitonidae
Description: tRNA-Ser
Source: RNAcentral
UACUACUUUCUUGGGAAAAAAUGUUUUGAAAGCAUGAAAGAAGUGUUCAAAUCACUUAGUAGUUU